This 404-nucleotide long non-coding RNA is filed under the name Elaeis guineensis (African oil palm). Its description in RNAcentral is "long non-coding RNA (EGUI_LNC000500)". The record is from RNAcentral. Lineage: Eukaryota; Viridiplantae; Streptophyta; Magnoliopsida; Arecales; Arecaceae.
GUUGAUCUCUUUUCCUUUAGUUUCAUGAACUGUGAAUCCCAGGAACCGGAAUUGAAGAAGAUCCUCGGGAGUAUGAGUGAGGCCGUCGUCUUUUUUGACUUCUUUAUUCUUCUUCUCGGCGAAUGUAAGAUAUUCCUCAUACGUUUGGAUGAAGAGACUGGAUUCAUGCCACCUCCACGUCAUCUCCUUCAUGGCUAGCUGCAGGCUUUCUUCUCAACUACGUACUCUCGGUCUCUCCCACUUCCUCGCUCAGUCUCAAUCCUCUGAGUAGGGCAACGGUUGAUGAUGGUUCAUAGGUAGAGGUAUCAUAUAUUUAUAGAACGUAUCAAGUCCUAAGUGGAAGCGGAAUAGAGGCAGCAUCUAUUUCUAGAACAUAGUAAUUCCUAAGUUGAAGCGGAAUGGAG